UAGGUAUUAAAUAUUUUAAAAUUUGCAUUUUUAAUAAUUCUAUUAAUUAGAAAUAUCUAA
RNAcentral lists this transfer RNA (60 nucleotides) under Nymphon gracile. Its description in RNAcentral is "tRNA-Ala". Lineage: Eukaryota; Metazoa; Arthropoda; Pycnogonida; Pantopoda; Nymphonidae. The record is from RNAcentral.